CCCUCACAGCCAGUGUCCAUGGCUGUUUGCUCACCUGCCCCAAUUUCAUGCUCCCUUACCCAGCUGACAGAGUUUUAUGGUUUUUUAGACCUUGCCUGUUUCUUCAGUGACCUCUUUUCUGGGGCUGGAGGAAAUCCCUGUACCUGCCCCCUUCCUUGCUACAACUUCAAAAACAUUUAGAAAACAAUACAGGGAGAAAUAUAAAGUUGGCAGAGGUUCAAGAGUACAGCUUAAGUAGCAACAUUUUGGGACAAUAAAAUACUAGCAAAUUAGCAUAAGAGUCAUCAGGUAUCACACUGGCAAGUAUCUGCUGGGAAAAAAAAAAAAAAAAUCUAAAACAUUUGUCAUUUAGAGAAAACAGGUGGCAUUGGUCACAGUGACCAGAGAACUCCCACAAAAGCCAAAACAACUUUAAUAAGUACAGAAAUCAUAUAUUUCAGAAAUUUUAAAUGUCCAUUAAGAACAGAAAAAUAAUAAUUUACAGAUUAUAAUUAAUAAUGCUCUUAAAGUUGACAUUCUUGUUCAGAUUCUUCCUGAAAAAUGCCAAGAAGAGAAAUAUGCACAGAAAAGAGAACAAAAAAGGCAGAAAGGCAAUGUCAGAAGUGAAGAGGAGGAAGGAACAAAAACAGAAAUGGAAAAAGAGCAGUAGGAACAAAUGGAAAAAGUGAAGGUAGAUCUGGAAAAGGAACAACAGGAGCACGGAGGACAUGUGGUUAGUGAGGAUAAUGUUCUCAUUUGAGAAGGGAACGUUUGAAUGAAAUGACAACAGAACUACUGUUGUCUUUGCUUUUCUUUUGCAAGCCAGGAACGUGCAUAUUCACCUAAGGAUGUUUCAGCAUGAAAAAACAUAGAUAACAACAAAGCAUUUUCCAACAUUACAGAAGGGUAACGGAUUGUGAAGAAACCAGCAAACGCUUCAGCACUCCCGGGCAAAUUCCGAACCAGAGUAUAACACAAACCUUUUAAUGUCAAACACGUGCAUAGAUAAAGUUCCAUCUUUUAGCAGAAUAUUAGAUUUUUCUUAAGCUUAGUAUUGCAUGCAUGUCUACUAAAUUAACUUUUAAAAAAUAUUUUAAUCCAUUUGUCAUUACUCUGAAUUCUAACUUUUCAAAGUCUUUGUUGAUAAUGAAAAAAAUCAGUAUCAACAGUGAAUCAAAGUCAUUAAACAAAUUUAGGUUUUCAACCUAUUGUACCUAGCUUACACAGUGAGUUCAUGAAGAUGAUAUUCCACACUUUCCAUAUAACACUAAACACACUGAGUGUUUUGCCUGACAAAAACCUCAGGAAAAUGUUAUAAAGAUCUCGCAGCAAUGUAGGUUAUUUCUUAAUGAUACAAGCAUAUUAUAUUUAAGGAAAAAAAAAAGGUAUUAAGGGCAUUUUUGUUCUUUACCUCUGCUGACAUAGCUUUAGGAAAAAAACCCAAACCCAACAAAUACUUGAGGCAAAGCUCUGGGAAACCGAUCAGUAUCAGAAACAAGCUAUUGUGGAACAUAAUCAUCACAUUUCUAAUCACCUUUUGAAAUGUUCUGCUUACACAAAACAGCGCAUUUGACACCAUCUCCUCGCUCCGCGUCCGUCUGGUAAUUUGCCAUUGGAACGGCGUUUCCCGGGAACAACAGCGCCCUCCUCGGGUGGUCUCCAGGAGCUGCAGCCUACCUGGAAACGCCGGGACGCACUGCAGCGCAUCCCGGGAAAACAGGCAUCGCCGAGAGCCCCAGUAGCAGGAGCAGCAUGUUUUAAUCACAUGUCUGAAAAGAAAGACUUAAAUUUUUUUAAAAUUUAUUUAUUUAAUUAGUGCCAUACCCUGCUUAACUUUAUUUCAGGAAAAUCAAAUAUGUAUUCAAAUCAAACUGCUGGAUUGAGAACACCAAGAUGACUGGAAAACACUUUGAACCACACUCACGAGUUUACAGAAACAGAAACGAGAGGAGUGGAGGUGCCAUGAGGAGGAGGUGGCAGCAAAGAAGUCACAAUUGGAGAAAACAGCACAAGAACAUAUUUGGCAGCAGCAGGAUUACCACAGGAAGCUUCUGCAGUUCCAGAAGAAGCAACAGCUAGAGGAACAGGGAGUAGCAGAUGGUCUCUAGAAAGACUAAUGCUUACUUUAGCAGUAGAUAGUUCAUCAGAAUGGAUGAUUUCUGGUAAAGACUUAGCCUGUGCAUCUGCCUGAAACUCCUGUGACACUACAUCCCAAACUUGCAGUACCUAAGCUGCUUCUCUGUUAAACAGAUAUGGUAACAAUAGUCCUCUCCGCCACAGUCCCUGCAGCCUGAAAAAAAUCCCACAGCCUAUCUAGGCUGCAGUGUGCAAGAUUCCUGGCAAUUACAACAUUCAUACUACAACUGAUUGUUUGUUUUCUCUCUGAAAGCCCAACUCCCAGCAUCUACAGUUAAAAAAAAAGAGAUUCAAACAAAUAGUUGCAGAGAAAGGCUUGAACAAAAAUCCAAUUACAAAUUAAGAAAAACUCAUGUGAGACAGUAUUAAAUGCUUGUAAUGACAGUACUGUAGCAGUAUUUUUUUAUCUGUAACUGAUAAAGUUAUUUCUAAAUAGAAAGUAUGUAAACAACCAAUAAUUGUUGGCGAUGUUUCUAAGAGGGACAAAAAUGCAGACAAAAAGAAGGGGCAAUGUGGUUAGAGGAAGAGCGCCAGCAGCUGGUUGACAUGGCAAUAGAAGACCUGGAAUUCAAAGAAAAAAACUAAGAAAUUGCAACAUAUAAGGCUAAGGAGCAAAUGAAGAAAGAGGAAGAUGCUAGACUACCUCUAGAGGAAGCCAAAAUACAAGCACAGCUUUUAAAUUUAAUCAGGGAUGUAGCUAUUAAGCAAAGAGUAAAGUUAAUUUGUUUCCUCAGUUAUAUCAACGCAUCUUUACACCUAGUGCCAGCCUAUACAGAAAUACCUCUGUAGCAGGAGUUCCAUCAGUGUAGUUAACACUGGAGAGCACCACUGGUACCUCAGGAGUUAAACUGCCAUCAAUUCCAGCCCCAAGACACAAUGCUCUUCUUUUUCUACUUGACCAGUUUUUCAGUAUUUCUCCAAAUUGCACCAGCAAUUGACAUCCACCUAAUUAUUUUAGCUUAAAACAUAUUAGAGAAAGAAACCCAACUGGAUUUCCCUGAACACCUGAAGUUAUGGUUACCUUUACACAAUCCAUCAGAGCAGUCUCCAGAGCUUCCACAACUUCCUGCAGCACCUCAGAACACAGGAACUGGGAGGCUGCAUAGUACACAUUAAAACACUGCAAAUUGUGUAACAGGCUUUGUAGGUCAAUUUAUGAGCCACAGAGCACUGCCAGGGAUAAGAGGCCAAGCAAGAACCACAGCUGAGCAGCAAUUAGCACCUACCACGUGUUCUACGCUUAUUGCUGUGACAGGAGGACAAGCUGGCCUACAAGAAGGUAUCAGCACAGGCCAGCAUGUUCUUCCACAGCCUAUUCCAGACCUUGCUCUAAGACAACUCCCAGGGGAAGCCCAGGCUCCUGCCCAGUGCUACAGAAGGCACCACACACACCAUGGCUGAAUCAAAGAAAGUGCCAGUGCACCAGCAAUGAGCUCACCAAGCAUGUAUGUGUCAAGUCAAUGCACUGGCUUUCUAAGCCCAGAAGGAAUUCUGUCUUGCAUCCCCUUUAUUAACACUGUUUGGAAGCAGAGAACAAAUUUGGAACCACCUCAGCAGUCCAAGGAACAUGACUAAUGGAAGCUACCAGAACAGAACACACUCAACAUGUCCUUCAUCCACUAGUGUGUUCUCACGUUCACCUGUUUGAAAAGCUAGGCCUGAAAUAGGUAUAAAAGAGUAAGUAAAUGCCUGGUGCUAGGAAUGGGUCACUGCAGUGAGUUGUUUCAGCUGCACUCAAAUUCAGGGAUCCAGUCUGGCUCAAGAGAAACCUUUUGGCACAGAUGCUACUCAUUCACAUAUUUAUUUUCCUAGACUGCAGCACUAGUCUGUGUUGACAUCCCACCAACAGCAAGUAAAAGCAUUCAUGUUUGGUCAGCCAGUAGAAAUUAAUCCAGACAGACCUCCUGAGGUGCCAAAUAGAUUCUUCGGUCCAUUUUGUGUAAAGAGAUAAAACAACAAAAUCACCAGGUUUCGAAAAGUUAUGAAGACCUCAGUGCUUCAGACUUCAAGAGGAACCCUCCAAAACAGUAAGUUGCAAUAAACAUGCUACUGUAAGAAGCAGCUAGAUUUCAGAUUCAGCAAUAAAAAGACUACAGAGAAACUGUAGCAAGGUAUUUGAGUCAAAGCAAAAGCCUUACAGCAAAGACCCACUUGUGGCACAGUCCACAUCAGCCUGGAAGUUGCUGGCUUUACCCUUCUCUGAACCCCUUGUUUAGAGGGAACAAGGACAUCACCAACAUCACAGUGAAUGCAUCAGCUGGAGAGCCACAUGAAUUACAUCUGCUAUAGUGCACUACUAGCUCACAGUGCAGCUUAACACCUACACCUUGCAACUCAAAGCCUGUUUACAACUGUUCUCUCAGAGAGCAACUUGUUCAAUUUCACAGUCAACAAGUUUGUUUGAUAUUUCCAGAAGGUCAUUAUUAUGAGUUUCUUCCUGCUUUUUCGUAACAAUUGGUGGAAGUCACUGGACAGAAGUAACUGUUUUCUGUUUAUUUACACUUUGAUCUACUAAAUGUGAACUAAAUACAUAUUUAUUCCAAAGUCACACUGAAGUUCAAGCUCAACAAUGGGAAGAUUCCCUUCAUGUUUUUCCCCCGCUAGCAAGCAGUGACUACACCCUCCUUUCUGAGGCAUUACACAUGGAGGUCUCCUUCCAAACUGCCUAUCUGCCUUACUAAAAGAUCCUAGUUAAAGAAAUAUAGUCCAACUAUAUUUCCAGGAAGAAACUCACCUCCUUGGGGGUAUGAUUAUCAGUAAUUCUCUGACCCUCGAAGAGAAACCUGAGUGAAUUCAUUGGAACACCCUAAAAAAAGAAACACACAUAUAAGAAUAAAACCCAACUUACUGAAUCUCAUAUGGGUUUACAGGAAAAAAUAUUUUAAAUAAAAACAACACAUGAAAGUCAUAAAAGAGUAUUAGUUCCUGUUACACAGGGAGCUCAGAUACUCUGUUGCAUUCACGUAGACUACCAAGAAGUGACUAAAAAAGUGUGAUAGUGCCAAAACACAUGUUUGUUCCAGAGUCUCACUGGACUUGUAGCUGAACAACUUGGAAGUUUCCUUAGCUUUUUUAACUUGUCUUUAUGAAUUAAGUACUGACUAUGCCCUCUCUCCCAAGAUAUAGUUACACAAGUAUUUUUCUGAACAGCGCAUCAGCCUUAUUUAAGGAUCCUAAGACAACAGGAGAAACAUGAUGUUUACUCCAUGAACUCCUACCCUUGCUUUCCCAAUCUUCUAUGGCUACAGGAAGGAAUCACAACCUUUACCAUUAUCAGUUCUGAAAAUGCUCAGCACUAGGAACAAGAAAGAGCAGAGCUGAGGGGAAGAAAAAUGAACAGCAUUCAAACAAAGUGAAACAAACAUCCCAAAGGUAAACAGAGUUAAGCUAAAGUAUGUCUGUUGCACAAUGUGCCCAUGUUCUGGCAGAAUGUCAUACUUCACAUCAAUAGAUAAGGCAAACACCUCAUCUUUCCUUCUCUUGCAAGUUAUGAGCAAAACAAACUCAUGUGGAAUAUGACACAAUUUUAACACUUAGCUCUCAAAUACUGCUUGCAAAUAACGAGGCAGAAAAUUUUCUCAGGUAAGGACAGAUCUUCACACUGUUUCAACAAUCCCUCUGGCCAAUGUGGAAGAAAUGUCCAUAGUCCCUUACCAGAGAAAGGCUACUUGACACCAAAAACUGCAUUGACUGCUGCAAAGGAAAUCACAGACCCUCCAGAAUUCAGCUCAGGAGAUAACAGGUGUGUUCAUUCAAACAAUUAUUUCUUUCUUUAAGAAAGAAUUCUACACAUGCAUGUUCAUUAGUCAGUAAGAAUGCUGUAUGAUUUCCAAGAUGAUUUUUUAAAAUGAAUCAUAAUUUUAGCCAUUUGGAUUUGGCUACAAAUGUAUCUGGUGUUUGAUCUUUUCUUUCCUCCUACUCCAGAAAGGCAGCAAAAAAUAACACAUUUCAUACAAGAACACUUCAAUGACAAGAUCACCUUGUCUCAAAGUAUUAGGAAAAAGCCCCCAAAGUAUUAUUACUUAUGAUUAUAUCUCCUGAAGUGAACUCAAACACACUUAUCCAAGAAAAGGCCACACAAGGCAUCUAUCCCCAAAGCUGAGGGCAAACUAGGCCAGGGCUUCUGGAAAUAGCAGCUGUGAAUCCACAAUAUCUAUCACAGAAUCUGGAAGUGAAGAUAUGUUUUUGUUCUGUAACAAUUGUUACUAUUUACCUACAUACACAACAAUUAUUAUUGCAGAUUUCUUUAACUUAGGGUAUAACUUCACAAUUGUCUUACAUAGGAGUACUUUUACUUGUCAAAAGAAAUGAGGAGAUCCAUUAUGUUUGUACCAUCAGAUACCUCAAAAGUCUUUAUUUGAAAGCACAGUGAGAAAAGUGGUUUGGGUUUUAUUUUCUUUUUAAAGAAUGUCAUUGUUUCACAAACCUGUCUUUGACAGUACGAUUCUUUGAGUUUCUUGAGGUGUGUUGUCAUUUUCACCUUGAAGUGAAUUUCACUGCUGUCCUACGGACAGAAAAGAAAAAAAAUUACUCUCCCUGUAGUAACUGCUAACUUUAUUUCUAAACAUUUCAUUAAGAAAAAAACUGACACAAAACUUACAUGAAACAUGGAAUGGGAUUUAACUAUCACCAUGCACACUUUGGUGCAUCAUGACAUGAACCUCCAGGACAAUUUAUCAGUCACUCAAUUUGCUACGUACUUCCACAGGAAGUUCUUUUAAAAAAAAAAACAGAUGGCAUUUUAUGGCCUUAGGCUCAACAUGGAGUUCUGGAUUUCAAAUUACUAAAACCUAUACAUGGUUCAGUCUGUGCUACCAUCUUUACCCAGAUGAUAUACUUAUGAAAUACAAACAUACAUAUGCAGGGGAUUUCUGUUCUAAGAUUCUAAAGAGACAAGUUAAAGCUUGCACUUCAAAAUAUAUACGAAACCUCGUUCAAUUAAGAGUAAUUAUCUAGAAGUUAGGAUACAGGCAGUCUUGGCAACACAAGACUAACCUAAGGAGAAAUCUCAGGUCUUAUUAUUCUGUAGUCUUUCCCACUAGCCAGAAGA
This is a long non-coding RNA of Passer domesticus (house sparrow), 7165 nucleotides long. RefSeq lists it as uncharacterized. The record is from RefSeq and is a predicted model, not a curated record. NCBI's taxonomy places the organism in Eukaryota, Metazoa, Chordata, Aves, Passeriformes, Passeridae. The transcript is spliced from 3 exons.